AACGAACGCUGGCGGCAGGCUUAACACAUGCAAGUCGAACGCAUCCUUCGGGGUGAGUGGCAGACGGGUGAGUAACGCGUGGGAACGUGCCCUUCAGUUCGGGAUAACCCAGGGAAACUUGGGCUAAUACCGGAUACGUGCGAGAGCAGAAAGAUUUAUCGCUGAAGGAUCGGCCCGCGUCUGAUUAGCUAGUUGGUGGGGUAAUGGCCCACCAAGGCAACGAUCAGUAGCUGGUCUGAGAGGAUGAUCAGCCACAUUGGGACUGAGACACGGCCCAAACUCCUACGUGAGGCAGCAGUGGGGAAUAUUGGACAAUGGGCGCAAGCCUGAUCCAGCCAUGCCGCGUGAGUGAUGAAGGCCUUAGGGUUGUAAAGCUCUUUCGUCCGGGACGAUAAUGACGGUACCGGAAGAAGAAGCCCCGGCUAACUUCGUGCCAGCCGCCGCAGUAA
Molecule: ribosomal RNA, 449 nt
Filed under: uncultured bacterium
Lineage: Bacteria
Description: partial 16S ribosomal RNA
Rfam family: Bacterial small subunit ribosomal RNA
Source: RNAcentral